GCACAGCACGAGUGGCGUUAGCCCUAAUAAAACACAACCUGCAAGUUUAUUAAACUGCUUCAAACACCACUACAAAUUCAAUAGAUACACUGCCCUAUUAGUAUUCUUUAUAUAAUUUCACAUCCAUUCAAUAUAUAAAUAUUUAUUGACAACAAAUAUCUUAAAUAUUUUUAGAAUUUUCGUAUUCGUUUUCCAUUCUAUACAAAAUCUUUUCUGUCACUUCCAACUGCUGUUUCUUCUUGGCAUUUUGUACAGCUAUUUCAUCUUUCAACACUUUUUCAUAUGGAAUAAAAUGCCCCAGUGCUUGCAUGGUUAACCCAAUAGGUGUACAAAUGCCAGCACCGAAGAGAGCGCCUACAAGAAUCCCUCGAAAACCUGAGAAUAGUUUAUAAACAGUUCCUGUGGUUGCUCCAGCAGCAAUGUAAUUCAAUGCAUCUUCCUUAUCUCGACCAAUAGACACAGCAGUGAGUGUCGUACUAUAUAUGCCAGAGUAAAGUCCUGUUCUCCAACCCCAA
This is a non-coding RNA of Paramuricea clavata, 515 nucleotides long. The record is from the annotation of a GenBank genome assembly. NCBI's taxonomy places the organism in Eukaryota, Metazoa, Cnidaria, Anthozoa, Malacalcyonacea, Plexauridae.